AGAGCUGCGAGUCCAAGACGCUGCCUGCCAGACUCGGCAUCCAGGUUAUGCAGCUUCCCGGGUUAUAUUUAGAAAACUUUCGUGGGUGGACCUCACCGUGGCAGAGCCCACAGGCCAGUGAGGAGUGGAAGAGAAGUGAAUCACCUGUUUUUUUUUUUGUUUUACAUUUGAAUUUUUGUUACAUUUUGUGUUUAUUUUGUAUUUAUAUGUGUGUGUGUGUGUGUGUGUGUGUGUGUCAAUUUAGCUAUUUUUACAAUUUGUUAAAGUUUUUUGUUCUACUAUAA
This is a long non-coding RNA of Alligator mississippiensis (American alligator), 284 nucleotides long. RefSeq lists it as uncharacterized. The transcript has 2 exons. NCBI's taxonomy places the organism in Eukaryota, Metazoa, Chordata, Crocodylia, Alligatoridae. The record is from RefSeq and is a predicted model, not a curated record.